This 402-nucleotide ribosomal RNA is filed under the name Geckobia hemidactyli. RNAcentral's name for it is "bacterial SSU rRNA". It matches the Rfam family "Eukaryotic small subunit ribosomal RNA", at positions 588 to 990 of the family's 1831-position model. The record is from RNAcentral. Lineage: Eukaryota; Metazoa; Arthropoda; Arachnida; Trombidiformes; Pterygosomatidae.
GCUCCAAUAGCGUAUAUUAAAGUUGUUGCGGUUAAAAAGCUCGUAGUUUGAUCUCAGCUUAUGCUGUAUGGUUCACUCAUUCUGAGUGACUACUGUUCAGCUGAGCAAUGGAUCGCUUUUUCUACUGAUGCUCUUCACCGAGUGUCAAUAGUGAACGAUACCUUUACUUUGAACAAAUUAGAGUGCUCAAAGCAGGCUUAUAUGCCUAAAUAAACUUGCAUGGAAUAAUGGAAUAGGACCUAGGUUCUAUUUUGUUGGUCUCCUGAAUCUAAGGUAAUGAUUAAGAGGGACAGACGGGGGCAUUCGUAUUGCUGCGCUAGAGGUGAAAUUCUUGGACCGCAGCAAGACGAACUACAGCGAAAGCAUUUGCCAAGAAUGUUUUCAUUAAUCAAGAACGAAAGU